RNAcentral lists this ribosomal RNA (912 nucleotides) under unidentified archaeon. Its description in RNAcentral is "partial 16S ribosomal RNA". The record is from RNAcentral.
UCCGGCGUUGAAUCCAAUUAAACCGCAAGCUCCACCCGUUGUGGUGCUCCCCCGCCAAUUCCUUUAAGUUUCAGCCUUGCGGCCGUACUUCCCAGGUGGCUCGCUUCACGGCUUCCCUACGGCACCGACAACGGUCGCACCGUGGCCGACACCUAGCGAGUAUCGUUUACGGCUAGGACUACCCGGGUAUCUAAUCCGGUUCGUGCCCCUAGCUUUCGUCCCUUGCCGUCAGGUCCGUUCUGGUGAGACGCCUUCGCCACUGGUGGUCCUUCAAGGAUUACAAGAUUUCACCCCUACCCCUGAAGUACCUCUCACCUCUACCGGCCUCGAGCCAGACAGUAUCUCCUGAAAGCCUGACAGUUAAGCUGCCAGAUUUCUCAAGAGACUUAUCCGGCCGGCUACAGACCCUUUAGACCCAAUAAUAACGGUUACCACUCGAGCCGCCGGUGUUACCGCGGCGGCUGGCACCGGUCUUGCCCGGCCCUUGCUAUGAAAUGCUUUUUAGGCAUCUCGACAGCCAGAUUUGUAACCUGGCACUCGAGGUUCCCUUAUCGCUGUUGCCAGCAUUGUAAAGUUUUCGCGCCUGCUGCACCCCGUAGGGCCUGGAUUCGUGUCUCAGAAUCCAUCUCCGGGCUCUUGCUCUCACAACCCGUACCCGUCGUAGGCUAGUAGGUACGCUACACCCACUACUACCUGAUAGGCCGCAGACCCAUCCUUAGGCGCCGGAGCUUUUAAUCUCGGUGCAUUCCGGCAGCCGAGACUUAUAGGGGAUUAUACCCAGUUUCCCGGGUUUAUACCCAACCUAAGGGCAGGUUGUCCACGUGUUACUGAGCAGUACGCCAUGUAUUGCUACAUUCGACUCGCAUGGCUUAGUCGAACCUCGAUAGCAGUAACCUCUGGCAGGAUCAACCG